This 325-nucleotide ribosomal RNA is filed under the name uncultured eukaryote. Its description in RNAcentral is "partial 18S ribosomal RNA". It matches the Rfam family "Eukaryotic small subunit ribosomal RNA", at positions 1470 to 1796 of the family's 1831-position model. The record is from RNAcentral.
CCCUUAGAUGUUCUGGGCCGCACGCGCGCUACACUGAUGCAUUCAACAAGUUCUACCUUGGCCGAGAGGCCUGGGAAAUCUUUCAAAGAUGUAUCGUGAUAGGGAUAGAUUAUUGCAAUUAUUAAUCUUGAACGAGGAAUUCCUAGUAAAUGCAGAUCAUCAUUCUGCGUUGAUUACGUCCCUGCCCUUUGUACACACCGCCCGUCGCACCUACCGAUUGAAUGAUCCGGUGAAGCCUCGGGAUUGUGCCCAGAGAACUUUAUUGUGAUUUGGGUGUGAGAACUUGUCUAAACCUUAUCAUUUAGAGGAAGGUGAAGUCGUAACA